Molecule: ribosomal RNA, 316 nt
Filed under: Staphylococcus sp. 3044O2
Lineage: Bacteria; Bacillati; Bacillota; Bacilli; Caryophanales; Staphylococcaceae
Description: bacterial SSU rRNA
Rfam family: Bacterial small subunit ribosomal RNA
Source: RNAcentral
UGACAUCUUCUGACCCCUCUAGAGAUAGAGUUUUUCCCUUUGGGGGACAGAGUGACAGGUGGUGCAUGGUUGUCGUCAGCUCGUGUCGUGAGAUGUUGGGUUAAGUCCCGCAACGAGCGCAACCCUUAAGCUUAGUUGCCAUCAUUAAGUUGGGCACUCUAAGUUGACUGCCGGUGACAAACCGGAGGAAGGUGGGGAUGACGUCAAAUCAUCAUGCCCCUUAUGAUUUGGGCUACACACGUGCUACAAUGGACAAUACAAAGGGCAGCGAAACCGCGAGGUCAAGCAAAUCCCAUAAAUGUUGUUCUCAGUUCGG